GAUGAACGCUGGCGGCGUGCCUAAUACAUGCAAGUCGAGCGAACAGACGAGGAGCUUGCUCCUCUGACGUUAGCGGCGGACGGGUGAGUAACACGUGGAUAACCUACCUAUAAGACGGGGAUAACUUCGGGAAACCGGAGCUAAUACCGGAUAAUAUAUUGAAGCGCAUGGGUCAAUAGUGAAAGACGGCUUUGCGGUCACUUAUAGAUGGAUCCGCGCCGCAUUAGCUAGUUGGUAAGGUAAGGGCUUACCAAGGCGACGGUGCGGAGCCGACCUGAGAGGUUGCUCGGCCACACUGGAUCUGACACACGGUCCAAGCUCCUACGGCAGGCAGCCGUAGGGAAUCUUCCGCACUGUGCGAGACCCUGACGGAGCAACGCCACGUGACUGAUGAAGGUCUUCUGAUCGUAGAACUCUGUUAUUUGGGCAGAACACAUGUGUACGUAACUAUGCGCGUCUUGACGGUACCUCAUCAGAAAGCCACGGCUAACUACGUG
This 497-nucleotide ribosomal RNA is filed under the name uncultured bacterium. Its description in RNAcentral is "partial 16S ribosomal RNA". It matches the Rfam family "Bacterial small subunit ribosomal RNA", at positions 28 to 507 of the family's 1533-position model. The record is from RNAcentral.